Molecule: long non-coding RNA, 399 nt
Organism: Gadus macrocephalus (Pacific cod)
Lineage: Eukaryota; Metazoa; Chordata; Actinopteri; Gadiformes; Gadidae
Exons: 3
Source: RefSeq, a predicted model, not a curated record
AGCAAAGUCUAUGUGAAGUUGUGGAUUUCAACACUGAAACUUUAAUGAAAAGCUCAUGGAAACUUCAGUCUGUGUCCGAGCCAGCAGCAUAUAAAGACGCCUCGGAGAUGGGUCAACUGCCACGACAAAGCUUGGAGCCUGCGGAUCCCAUCUAUGACUACCCCAAAGCCUACUGUGAUAAACAACUGGUAAGUAACCAUGCAUGAGACCAUGAAUAAAUGUACACACUUAAGAAUGAAUAUGAUCAGUCCAUCGCCAUUGUAAUGAUCCUGUGUGUGGAAUGUGCUUGUUCUUUGAUGUGAAUGAUUGCUUUAUUGCUUUACCUUCCACUAGCCGGUGGGCAUAUCAAACUGUUUAUUGCCCUGCCUUGAGGUGAUAAUCCCGUUUAUUCUACUUCUU